RNAcentral lists this ribosomal RNA (214 nucleotides) under uncultured bacterium. RNAcentral describes it as "partial 16S ribosomal RNA". It matches the Rfam family "Bacterial small subunit ribosomal RNA", at positions 524 to 734 of the family's 1533-position model. The record is from RNAcentral.
UACGUAGGGUGCGAGCGUUGUCCGGAAUUUAUUGGGCGUAAAGAGCUUGUAGGCGGUUUUGUCGCGUCUGCUGUGAAAUCUCAAGGCUCAACCUUGAGCUUGCAGUGGGUACGGGGCAGACUAGAGUGUGGUAGGGGAGACUGGAAUUCCUGGUGUAGCGGUGAAAUGCGCAGAUAUCAGGAGGAACACCGAUGGCGAAGGCAGGUCUCUGGGC